This 214-nucleotide long non-coding RNA is filed under the name Linum usitatissimum (flax). RNAcentral's name for it is "long non-coding RNA (LUSI_LNC000174)". Lineage: Eukaryota; Viridiplantae; Streptophyta; Magnoliopsida; Malpighiales; Linaceae. The record is from RNAcentral.
UGCUGUUCUUGCAACCUCGUCCGGUAGCUUGUCCAUAAAGUCAUGCCAGGCCAUUAGAAGGGGCUGAAUUGGAGAAGUCUGAACUCUGAGUGGAGACGACACCUUUUCUUUCAAACUGCUCUCGAUCGGGAUAAGGUUCAGUUUCAACCAAUUGUUAAGGGACUUUAGGUAUGCUUUUUGGUUGUCUAUUAGACCACAGAACUGUGCAUGCCAC